AGAGUUUGAUCCUGGCUCAGAUUGAACGCUGGCGGCGUGCUUAACACAUGCAAGUCGAACGAGAAAGGGACUUCGGUCCUGAGUAGAGUGGCGCACGGGUGAGUAACGCGUAGGUAAUCUACCUCUGCAUCUGGGAUAACACUUCGAAAGGGGUGCUAAUACCGGAUACACUUAUGGACCGCAAGGUCUAUAAGGAAAGGAGACCUCUCCUUGGAAGUUUCUGUGUAGAGAUGAGCCUGCGUCCCAUUAGCUAGUUGGCAGGGUAAAGGCCUACCAAGGCGACGAUGGGUAGCGGGUCUGAGAGGAUGAUCCGCCACACUGGAACUGAAACACGGACCAGACUCCUACGGGAGGCAGCAGUGAGGAAUAUUGGACAAUGGGCGCAAGCCUGAUCCAGCGACGCCGCGUGAGUGAUGAAGGCCUUUGGGUCGUAAAGCUCUGUCAGCAGGGAAGAACGGCCGUGUGGUUAAUACCCAUGCGGAUUGACGGUACCUGCAGAGGAAGCACCGGCUAACUCCGUGCCAGCCGCCGCGGUAAUA
RNAcentral lists this ribosomal RNA (539 nucleotides) under uncultured bacterium. RNAcentral's name for it is "bacterial SSU rRNA". It matches the Rfam family "Bacterial small subunit ribosomal RNA", at positions 8 to 525 of the family's 1533-position model. The record is from RNAcentral.